Arachis stenosperma is the source of this 203-nucleotide long non-coding RNA. RefSeq lists it as uncharacterized. The transcript has 3 exons. Lineage: Eukaryota; Viridiplantae; Streptophyta; Magnoliopsida; Fabales; Fabaceae. The record is from RefSeq and is a predicted model, not a curated record.
UUGUGGGUGGAUCCACAAUAAGUUCUCAGGCUAUGCUGAAGCAGGAGGUUUCUACUGCUUCAUCAAAAGGCACUACUAUUAAAACAGGUGAUCGAGUAAAAUUUGUUGGUAACUUCCCUUCUGCUGUCUCAUCAAUACAAAAUCAUCCUUCAAGACUUCAAUUGAUGCUGCAAACUAUGACAGGGUGAUGUUACUGGGUGGAA